ACUGCCUGGCCUUCCUUAUGUUCCUCCUCCGCGACUUCUACUCCCAGCCUUAACCAGCCCCUGGGCAUGACAAGUCCUCAGGGCCAGUACCCACGGGGUAAGGCUAAGACCCCCUCCUGGAUCCCGUUACCCCUCUCAAGCCUCUUCACCUGAGACCCUCUGGCUCUAGCACAUCAGGAUUUGGUGUUUGAGUCUGUGUUCACCCUGCAUCUAGCACCGUCUUAUAGAUCAAGUCACAUGUUCUGUGUAUGUCCCUGUGAAAUCUUCUCAGACAACACAAACGACUUACAGACGGGGCCACGGAUGUUCUGCAACUAUCAGGAAGAGAGCAGGGCAGGGGGGCGAGCAGGAUGGGGUGGGGAGCAGGGCAGGAGGGAAGCAAGUGGGGGGAGUGAGGGGGACCAGGGCAGGGAGAGAGCAAGUGGGGGGUAGUGAGGGGGAGCAGGGCAGUGGGAGAGGGGGCCAGGGCAGGGAGGGAGCAGGUCAUGAGAGGGAGAAGGGAGGAUGGCUGGGAGCAGCUCAGAGAGAGAAAGAGGAGGAUGAAGGGAGCAGGUCGGGGGAGCAGGGGACCCUCCCGCCUGAGCGUCAGCACGACCGGUUGGGAAAGCGGUGCCCCCACGGAAACCACGGCCGGAGGCUGAAAGGUCAGCCAGCGUCGCCGCCCCCGCGGCAGACCCGCGCGGGUCCCACAUCGCCAUGCCGGUGGGCGCGCACGGCCCAGAGCCAGCCGGGAAGGCGAGCCCGCCGGCCAGAGCGCGGCGUGGAGGCGGCGGAGCCAGAAACGUUUCCCUUCUUAUAACUGAUCCUCCUAAAAUAAAUGUGAAGAUGUACGUGCAAGGACGUUUGCUGUGGCCUUACCCGGGAUGUUGAAACACUAGACUCAAGCUGUAUUCGUUCAUUCAAAACAUUUUGUUGAACGUCUGCCACUGGCCAUUGUUCUCAGCUGAAAACAUGGCAGCCAGCAAAACAGAAAAAAAAAAAAAAUCCAGCCGGCGCAGAGCUUCCAGCAGUAAGCUCAUAGUUCGACUCUCAUGGGUAGCAGUUACGUCUAAUACCUCCACAGGCUGGGACUCAUGCAGCACCCACAUCACUUUUUUGGAGAUAUUUAGUGGUAUGAGAAGACAUUCAGGAUUUGCUAAGUGAAAAACAGGAUACAGUGUUGUAUGAUGCCAACAUGGUUUUUUUCUUUUUUUUUUUUUUUAAGAUUUUAUUUACUUAUUUGAGAGCGAGAUCGUGAGAGAGAGAUCAUGAGCAGGUGGGAAGGGCAGAAGGAGAAGCAGCUUUCCUGCUGAGCAGAGAGCCGGAUGUGGGACUCGACCCUGAGAUCCUGGGAUCAUGACCUGAGCCAAAGGCAGAUGCUUCACCGACUGAGCCACCCAGGAGCCCAGCCAACGUAGUUUCCAAAAACAACAACAACAACAACAAAAACCUUUAUGGAGCAUAAGCUCUUCCUCCAGGCCACGAAUUCAUCCGGAGUGGAGGAAAGUACCUUUACAGUAAAGAUGUCGGUCAGACCAAGCCAGCAUCACCGAGCGUGUGGAGCGGCUGUGCCCUUGGUGAGAUGGUAGGAAAAGGGACACAGAGACC
Molecule: long non-coding RNA, 1587 nt
Filed under: Ailuropoda melanoleuca (giant panda)
Lineage: Eukaryota; Metazoa; Chordata; Mammalia; Carnivora; Ursidae
Description: lncRNA (ENSAMEG00000024179.1)
Source: RNAcentral